AAGUCGUAACAAGGUUUCCGUAGGUGAACCUGCGGAAGGAUCAUUAACACAUUUUUAUUUAUUAUUGUUUAUAUAAUAAUAAUAAACAAAAACCCAAACUCCCUUUUUACUAACUUGUACUAAACUAUUUGAUGCGAUUAAUGGGGAGUGUGGUUCCGGUGAUUCGGGCCCCAUUUCCUGUGAGUCAAAUCAUUUCUCUAUAUAACUAUAGAACAACUCUUAGCAACGGAUAUCUUGGUUCUC
RNAcentral lists this unclassified non-coding RNA (243 nucleotides) under fungal sp. RNAcentral describes it as "partial internal transcribed spacer region". The stretch from base 1 to 46 matches the Rfam family "Eukaryotic small subunit ribosomal RNA", at positions 1786 to 1831 of the family's 1831-position model. The record is from RNAcentral. Lineage: Eukaryota; Fungi.